CCCAAGUUCAGCUGCCUCGGGGGAGGAGAUAUGCUGAAGAUAUCAACAGUCUGGUUCUAUUCAUAGUACCUAUUGUUCCUCUCCCAUGGAAUAUCAGACCACGGGUCAUGCCCUGUUGGACACUCUAUGUCAGUUAUUAAAUCCUCACCAAAUUCUGAAACUUAGAGAACAGCUCCAGCAAUCUGAAGAGGUGUCCGAAAUUGGUCACAGGGACUGCGUGUCCAAAGUCAACUGAAUUAGAACCUGGGAGAGGAGCACACAGAAACUGUCUUAGCACCCUCCCCCACCACGCCGGCCCCGGAGAGGGGAACUGGGCGGAGGACUGACAGAACCCACCUCGGGGAGGAAACUAUACAGAGAGAACACAAGCAGCAAAACCAGCAGAUCAUCAUCUCCUAGAAGUGCUGGAGGGUUGGUUUACAAAUCUCCGUGGAGAGCAGAGCAGGUGAGUGAUUCCUGAAGAGUAUGGCGGGCUUGUGGCCGCCCUUCUGAAACGCAUGGCAGAUCCUCAAGCAAUCCUUCUGGGACUCAAAGCAGGUAAACACAGACAAGAGAAGACAGAGUGGCCCUGUGGCUGUGAAGAUGGGAAACUGGAAAUAAAUCCAGGUGUGAGAGGUUGCUGAUGGGGAUCUUUCCUUUGUCCCUGAAUGUUGCCUGUGGACCACAUCUGAAAACAAUAGUACCCCACCUUCUGGAGAGCUGCGAGAGAGUAACAUAAGGGACCCACCUGGGUUUGCCAAGAACCUGCAAAUAAAAAUACAGGAUAGCCACUUAAGUUUAA
Lutra lutra (Eurasian river otter) is the source of this 781-nucleotide long non-coding RNA. RefSeq lists it as uncharacterized. The transcript is spliced from 3 exons. NCBI's taxonomy places the organism in Eukaryota, Metazoa, Chordata, Mammalia, Carnivora, Mustelidae. The record is from RefSeq and is a predicted model, not a curated record.